RNAcentral lists this ribosomal RNA (496 nucleotides) under Pseudomonas sp. HA-OP10. RNAcentral's name for it is "bacterial SSU rRNA". It matches the Rfam family "Bacterial small subunit ribosomal RNA", at positions 1 to 503 of the family's 1533-position model. The record is from RNAcentral. Lineage: Bacteria; Pseudomonadati; Pseudomonadota; Gammaproteobacteria; Pseudomonadales; Pseudomonadaceae.
CUAGAGUUUGAUCAUGGCUCAGAUUGAACGCUGGCGGCAGUCCUAACACAUGCAAGUCGAGCGGAUGAGGGGAGCUUGCUCCCGGAUUCAGCGGCGGACGGGUGAGUAAUGCCUAGGAAUCUGCCUGGUAGUGGGGGACAACGUUUCGAAAGGAACGCUAAUACCGCAUACGUCUACGGGAGAAAGCAGGGGGGUCUUCGGCCUUGCGCUAUCAGAUGAGCCUAGGUCGGAUUAGCUAGUUGGUGGGGUAAAGGCCUACCAAGGCGACGAUCCGUAGCUGGUCUGAGAGGAUGAUCAGUCACACUGGAACUGAGACACGGUCCAGCCUCUACGGGAGGCAGCAGUGGGGAAUAUUGGACAAUGGCGAAAGCCUGAUCCAGCCAUCCCGCGUGUGUGAAGAAGGUCUUCGGAUUGUAAAGCACUUUAAGUUGGGAGGAAGGGCAGUAAGUUAAUCCCUGCUGUUUUCCGUUCCACAGAAUAACCCGCCGGCCCCUUA